GUACACUCCUACGGGAGGCAGCAGUGGGGAAUUUUGGACAAUGGGCGAAAGCCUGAUCCAGCAAUGCCGCGUGAGUGAAGAAGGCCUUCGGGUUGUAAAGCUCUUUUGUCAGGGAAGAAACGGUGAGAGCUAAUAUCUUUUGCUAAUGACGGUACCUGAAGAAUAAGCACCGGCUAACUACGUGCCAGCAGCCGCGGUAAUACGUAGGGUGCAAGCGUUAAUCGGAAUUACUGGGCGUAAAGCGUGCGCAGGCGGUUUUGUAAGUCUGAUGUGAAAUCCCCGGGCUCAACCUGGGAAUUGCAUUGGAGACUGCAAGGCUAGAAUCUGGCAGAGGGGGGUAGAAUUCCACGUGUAGCAGUGAAAUGCGUAGAUAUGUGGAGGAACACCGAUGGCGAAGGCAGCCCCCUGGGUCAAGAUUGACGCUCAUGCACGAAAGCGUGGGGAGCAAACAGGAUUAGAAACCCCAGUAGUCCCAUGA
RNAcentral lists this ribosomal RNA (478 nucleotides) under uncultured organism. Its description in RNAcentral is "partial 16S ribosomal RNA". It matches the Rfam family "Bacterial small subunit ribosomal RNA", at positions 331 to 800 of the family's 1533-position model. The record is from RNAcentral.